CUUCUCCCUCUUCUUCCUCUCUUCUUCUCCCCACGCCCCACAGCUUCUCGCUGCAGCCCUCGCUGCAGCCACCUCCUCUUCUUCUUCUUCUUCUUCUUCUUCUUCUUCUUCUUCUCUUCUCCCUCUCUUCUUCCUCUCUUCUUCCUCCUCUCUUCUUUUCCCUCUUCUUCUUCUUUUCUUCACUCCUCACGCCCCACCGCUCCUCUCUGUUUCUCGAAAAAACAGAGUGCGUGGGAGGUGGUGGGAUAAUAUCGAAAUUUUCGGUUUUCUUUAUUUUCUUCUUUUUACAACUUAACAGUUUAGUCCUUGAAAUUUUCAUAUUUACAUAUAGGUCCCCCGAUUUAUAAAUAAAUCUUUAUUAAUAAUUUUCAAAAGCGAGGUAUAUUACA
This 389-nucleotide long non-coding RNA is filed under the name Musa acuminata (dwarf banana). RNAcentral describes it as "long non-coding RNA (MACU_LNC008161)". Lineage: Eukaryota; Viridiplantae; Streptophyta; Magnoliopsida; Zingiberales; Musaceae. The record is from RNAcentral.